Molecule: ribosomal RNA, 250 nt
Filed under: uncultured bacterium
Lineage: Bacteria
Description: partial 16S ribosomal RNA
Rfam family: Bacterial small subunit ribosomal RNA
Source: RNAcentral
AACGUAGGAGGCGAGCGUUAUCCGGAUUUACUGGGCGUAAAGCGCACGCAGGCGGCUUCGUGAGUUGGACGUGAAAGCUCCUGGCUUAACUGGGAGAGGUCGUUCGAUACUGCGAGGCUUGAGGUAGGGAGAGGGGUGUGGAAUUCCCGGUGUAGUGGUGGAAUGCGUAGAGAUCGGGAGGAACACCAGUGGCGCAAGCGGCACCCUGGCCCACACCUGACGCUGAGGUGCGAAAGCGUGGGGAGCAAAC